GACGAACGCUGGCGGCGUGCUUAACACAUGCAAGUCGAACGGAAAGGCCCUGCUUUGGUGGGGUUCUCGAGUGGCGAACGGGUGAGUAACACGUGAGUAACCUUCCCUUGACUUUGGGAUAACUUCAGGAAACUGGGGCUAAUACCGGAUAGGAGCUCCGGCUGCAUGGUGGGGGUUGGAAAGUUUCGGCGGUUGGGGAUGGACUCGCGGCUUAUCAGCUUGUUGGUGGGGUAGUGGCUUACCAAGGCUUUGACGGGUAGCCGGCCUGAGAGGGUGACCGGACACAUUGGGACUGAGAUACGGCCCAGACUCCUACGGGAGGCAGCAGUGGGGAAUAUUGCACAGUGGGCGGAAGCCUGAUGAAGCAACGCCGCGUGCGGGAUGAAGGCCUUCGGGUUGUAAACCGCUUUAGCCUGUGACGAAGCGUGAGUGACGGUAAUGGGUAAAGAAGCACCGGCUAACUACGUG
RNAcentral lists this ribosomal RNA (468 nucleotides) under uncultured bacterium. RNAcentral describes it as "partial 16S ribosomal RNA". It matches the Rfam family "Bacterial small subunit ribosomal RNA", at positions 28 to 507 of the family's 1533-position model. The record is from RNAcentral.